UUCAGAUGCCACUUUGUUUAGUUUUAUUUUAAAUAUUCUUUAGGGGUAAUUUUGACCUCUAUGCUUUUGAGAAAACUGCUAUUACUCAAAAGUUUUUUUUUAAAGAAUAUUUUUUUAUUAUACUGAAAGUAAAUAGUUUCUCCAAAUGUUUGAGCAGACAAUUUGCAUCAUUGAGUAUAUUGAUUGUCUUACACAAUAAUUUUUGCUAAUUUUCAUAAAGAGUGCCAGUAAUUCCUGAGUUGAAUGUAUAAACUCUUCUUUGCAGACUGAACAGCUGUGAACUCACACAGAAGUGCUGUAAUAUUGUGGCCUCAGCUCUCCAGUCAUCAAACUCACCCCUGAGAGAUCUGGACCUCAGCUGCAAUAACCUGGGAGAUUCAGGAGUGGAGCUGCUCUGUGCUGGACUGAUGAGUCCAAACUGUAAACUGCAGAGACUGGGGCUGGGUUGGUGCAAUCUCACAGAGGGCUGCUGUGAUGUUCUGGCCUCAGUCCUGCAUUCUCCUCACUCAGAGCUGAGAGAUCUGGAGCUCAGAGACAACGAGCUGCAGGAUUCAGGAGUGAGAGCGCUCUCUGCUGGACUGGAGGACCCACACUGUAAACUGCAUAGAAUGGGGCUGUCAGGCUGUAGAGUCACACAGAGAGGCUGUGAUUCUCUGGCUUCAGCUCUGUGUUCAAACCCCUCACAUCUGAGAGAGCUGGACCUGAGAUACAAUCACCCAGGAGACUCAGGAGUGAGAGCGCUGUCUGCUGCUGAACUGGACACACUCACACUGCUGUAAGUACAGAGAGUUUCCACACUGCACCUCACACACACACACACACACACCUGAGAGAGCUGGACCUGAGAUACAAUCACCCAGGAGACUCAGGAGUGAGAGCGCUGUCUGCUGCUAAACUGGACACACUCACACUGCUUGUUGACCAUGGAGGAGAGAACAGGACCAAACCAGGACCCCGGAAAUGUGAGUGUGUAUGGACACAGAACACUUU
Molecule: long non-coding RNA, 990 nt
Organism: Anguilla rostrata (American eel)
Lineage: Eukaryota; Metazoa; Chordata; Actinopteri; Anguilliformes; Anguillidae
Exons: 4
Source: RefSeq, a predicted model, not a curated record